UACAGAGGGUGCAAGCGUUAAUCGGAGUUACUGGGCGUAAAGGGCGCGUAGGCGGUCAUGUAAGUGAGGUGUGAAAUCCCUGGGCUUAACCUAGGAACUGCAUCUUAUACUGUAUGACUGGAGUACCGUAGAGGGUAGUGGAAUUUCCGGUGUAGCGGUGAAAUGCGUAGAGAUCGGAAGGAACACCAGUGGCGAAGGCGGGUACCUGGGCAGAAACUGACGCUGAGGCGCGAAAGCGUGGGGAGCAAACAGG
This 253-nucleotide ribosomal RNA is filed under the name uncultured bacterium. Its description in RNAcentral is "partial 16S ribosomal RNA". It matches the Rfam family "Bacterial small subunit ribosomal RNA", at positions 524 to 776 of the family's 1533-position model. The record is from RNAcentral.